This 382-nucleotide ribosomal RNA is filed under the name uncultured eukaryote. RNAcentral describes it as "partial 18S ribosomal RNA". It matches the Rfam family "Eukaryotic small subunit ribosomal RNA", at positions 592 to 976 of the family's 1831-position model. The record is from RNAcentral.
UGUAAGCGUAUACCAAAGUUGUUGCAGUUAAAACGCUCGUAGUCGGAAUUUGGCAGUUCCGGAUGUGUGCACGUCGUGUGCGCACUUCGCGGGGAUUGCUUUUGUGGUCUUGCGUAGGAUGAGGCACUUUUAUUAGUGAACGUCCUCACGCAACCACUUUUUACUGUGAGAAAAUCAGAGUGCUCAAAGCAGGCAUUUGCCGUGAAUGUAUUAGCAUGGAAUAAUAGAAUAGGACUUGGUUCUAUUUUGUUGGUUUGUUGGGACUGAGUAAUGAUUAAGAGGGACAGUUGGGGGCAUUUGUAUUUCGGUGCUAGAGGUGAAAUUCUUAGAUUACCGAAAGACAAACUGCUGCGAAAGCGCCUGCCAAGGAUGUUUUCAUUGA